CCCUUAGAUGUUCUGGGCCGCACGCGCGCUACACUGAUGCAUUCAACGAGUUUCUUCCUGGUCCGAGAGGAAUGGGUAACCUUUUGAAAGUGCAUCGUGAUAGGGAUAGACUAUUGCAAUUAUUGGUCUUCAACGAGGAAUUCCUAGUAGACGUAGUUCAUCAGACUGCAUCGAUUACGUCCCUGCCCUUUGUACACACCGCCCGUCGCUCCUACCGAUUGAAUGCUCAGGUGAGCCAUUCGGACUUUCAUCAUGCUGGUUUCCAGUUUUGAUGAAGGAAAGUCUUGCGAACCUUAUCAUUUAGAGGAAGGAGAAGUCGCAACA
RNAcentral lists this ribosomal RNA (324 nucleotides) under uncultured eukaryote. Its description in RNAcentral is "partial 18S ribosomal RNA". It matches the Rfam family "Eukaryotic small subunit ribosomal RNA", at positions 1470 to 1796 of the family's 1831-position model. The record is from RNAcentral.